GAUGAAGAACGCAGCGAAAUGCGAUAAGUAAUGUGAAUUGCAGAAUUCAGUGAAUCAUCGAAUCUUUGAACGCACAUUGCGCCCGCCAGUAUUCUGGCGGGCAUGCCUGUUCGAGCGUCAUUUCAACCAUCAAGCCCCAGGCUUGUGUUGGGGACCUGCGGCUGCCGCAGGCCCUGAAAACCAGUGGCGGGCUCGCUGUCACACCGGGCGUAGUAGAUUUUAUCUCGCUCAGGGCGUGCUGCGGAUUCCGGCCGUUAAAAAGCCUUUUUUACCCAAGGUUGACCUCGGAUCAGGUAGGAAGACCCGCUGAACUUAAGCAUAUCAAUAAGCGGAGGA
Molecule: unclassified non-coding RNA, 336 nt
Filed under: soil metagenome
Description: partial contains 5.8S ribosomal RNA, internal transcribed spacer 2, and large subunit ribosomal RNA
Rfam family: 5.8S ribosomal RNA (bases 1-120)
Source: RNAcentral